RNAcentral lists this long non-coding RNA (2484 nucleotides) under Volvox carteri. Its description in RNAcentral is "long non-coding RNA (VCAR_LNC001329)". The record is from RNAcentral. Lineage: Eukaryota; Viridiplantae; Chlorophyta; Chlorophyceae; Chlamydomonadales; Volvocaceae.
ACGAGCCCAGAGUUGCAAGCUACGACGUUGGCUUUCGGUGCUUUCAGUUACUGCAAAGCAGCCACGCAAUAGUCCAGCCUGCAUGCCGCGUGCGGCUGUGGCCAACAUGCCCACCUGCGCAACGCGCUGGCGCACCUCGUCCUUUCUCCACGAAAAUUUAUAUACACUUACACACGCGCAUUUUGCGACUCGAAAGCGCGCAUCCGCGCGGCAAAAUUCGCUCCUGGCUUUUUUGGACGAUGUACGUCCCGUUUAUUCGGCAGAGUACGACCGCUCACAUUUCUGCGAGGGGCUGCUUAAAAAUAGGGGGGUCCUUGUGAAGCAGCUGCCCGCGUUUCCAAAGCACGUAUGGUGUUGGAUUGUAAGGUGCCCAAGUACGUUUGCGAGGAAGAGAAUGUGGCCAGGCUGGAGAGGAAAGUGCAGUGGCAUAUUGGAAUGUGAGAUUAGCGUAAGCGAGUUACAGGGUGUUUGGUGCACGGGCGAAUUUACGUGCAUAUCUUUCACCGUAGCAUCAGUCCUCAGUUCACUUCUUGGAACGAACAUCAUCAUAGGUCCAAGCCCUCUCGCUUGGAGGGAUAUGCAAACAAACAUCCUGAUAAGGGUAAACUCGCACGCUAGCGAGCAUUCAACCGAGCACAUGCAUGCUUAGUUGAAUGGUGAGAUGCGACCCCCCCUUCAUUUCGUGCUCGGCAAGCCUGCCACCGCGUACCGAAUAUGUUGGCGAUGUUACAGAGACGCUGCACCUUGGUUUCUGUGCGCAAUGCGUACGAUGCUCGACCCCGCCGACCAAAACUACACGUGCCCAACUGAAGACAUUACCGGUGGUUGUGCAGCAGCUCUUGAGGCUGUUGCUGGCUGAAAUCCAUCCUGAGCUGUUGCAACACGGCUAACGCGGGCACGUCCCUAUGCAGAGCAAAUAGCUGUUCCAAGCCAACAGCGGCGUCCAUGUCACCGACAAGGCUCUAAACGUCUCAUCUGUUCUUAUGUUUAAUUAAGUUUAUGUAUGUUAUGCUUUGCGCAACUUUGUAAUUUGACUUUACUCUGAACAAGGUGCUGUAUACGUUGCACUACCAAAAACGCGACCGUUUGCUUGCACACAACUGCCUCUUCGCCAGACGCUUCCUCUUCCCGCGGCAGUUUCACGAGCCCAGUGUUGCAAGCUACGACGUAUGCUUUCAUAUCUUUUCAUAUCUUAUUCGGCUCAGGCUAAGCAGCCAGCCAAAAGUCCGAGAUGCAUGCCGCUUGUGACUGCGGCCAACAUGCCCUGAUGAGCGGCCUUUCGCCGAAAAAAUUACAUACACUUUUACAGGCGCAUUUUGAGAAUUGAACGCGCGCAUCCGCACGAUAAAUUUCGCGCCUGGCUCUUGGGGCGUCAUGUACGGACCUUUUAUUCGCGAAGUACGACCGGACACAUUUGUGCGAGAGGCUGCUUAAAUAGACGACUAGAAAUAGGGGGUUCCUUGUGAAGCAGCUGCCCGCGUUUCCUAAGCACGUAUGGUGUUGGAUUGUAAGGUGCCCAAGUACGUUUGCGAGGAAGAGAAUGUGGCCAGGCUGGAGAGGAAAGUGCAGUGGCAUAUUGGAAUGUGAGAUUAGCGUAAGCGAGUUACAGGGCGUUUGGCGCACGUUUGGCGCACCGUAGCAUCAGUCCUCAGUUCACUUCUUGGAACGAACAUCAGCAUAGGUCCAAGCCCUCUCGCUUGGAGGGAUAUGCAAACAAACAUCCUGAUAAGGGUAAACUCGCACGCUAGCGAGCAUUCAACCGAGCACAUGCAUGCUUAGUUGAAUGGUGAGAUGCGACCCCCCCUUCAUUUCGUGCUCGGCAAGCCUGCCACCGCGUACCGGAUAUGUUGGCGAUGUUACAGAGACGCUGCACCUUUGUUUCUGUGCGCAAUGCGUACGAUGCUCGACCCCGCCGACCAAAACUACACGUGCCCAACUGAAGACAUUCCCGGUGGUUGUGCAGCAGCUCUUGAGGCUGUUGCUGGCUGAAAUCCAUCCUGAGCUGUUGCAACACGGCUAACGCGGGCACAUCCCUAUGCACAGCAAAUAGCUGUUCCAAGCCAACAGCGGCGUCCAUGUCACCGACAAGGCUCUAAACGUCUUAUCUGUUCUUAUGUUUAAUUAAGUUUAUGUAUGUUAUACUUUGCGCAACUUUGUAAUUUGACUUUACUCUGAACAAGGUGCUGUAUACGUUGCACUACCAAAAACGCGACCGUUUGCUUGCACACAACUGCCUCUUCGCCAGACGCUUCCUCUUCCCGCGGCAGUUUCACGAGCCCAGUCUUGCAAGCUACGACGUAGGCUUUCGGUGCUUUCAGUUACUGCAAAGCAGCCACGCAAUAGUCCAGCCUGCAUGCCGCGUGCGGCUGUGGCCAACAUGCCCACCUGCGCAACGCGCUGGCACACCUCGGCCUUUUCCGCCAAGAAAAUUUAUAUACACUUCUACAGGCGCAUUUUGCGAAUCGCACGCGCGCAUCCGCGCGG